AAUGUGCUUUUGGAGUUGUGAACCUUGCUGUGAGGAAUGCCGCAUGGACCGAAGCUAUGUGCUCCAUCUUAACGUGGUGGUAUUGAUACUACGUUUCGGACCAGGCUUCAUUCCCCUCAGCGCAGUUUCAUCAUGGUGAUGGACGG
Molecule: microRNA precursor, 146 nt
Filed under: Physcomitrium patens
Lineage: Eukaryota; Viridiplantae; Streptophyta; Bryopsida; Funariales; Funariaceae
Description: Physcomitrella patens miR166e stem-loop (ppt-MIR166e)
Gene: ppt-MIR166e
Rfam family: mir-166 microRNA precursor family (bases 27-121)
About the family: This family represents the plant microRNA (miRNA) precursor mir-166. Animal miRNAs are transcribed as ~70nt precursors and subsequently processed by the Dicer enzyme to give a ~22nt product.
Source: miRBase by way of RNAcentral